RNAcentral lists this long non-coding RNA (508 nucleotides) under Homo sapiens (human). RNAcentral's name for it is "HSALNT0373696". Lineage: Eukaryota; Metazoa; Chordata; Mammalia; Primates; Hominidae. The record is from RNAcentral.
CAAGAGAAGUGCAAGACUCACAAAAGUAUCCUAUCAGUCCUAUGAGUCAGCCAUAUACAGCAUGGAACAGGGCUCCACAAGGACAUGAAUACCAGGUGGCAGGGAUCACUGGGCCAUCUCUCUAAAUCACGAAUGAAACAUUUGCAACCUGUGUCUCCCAAACAUGAUAUGUCUCAAUCAUCAAAGGAUCUACAGUGACUACAAUAACCAAGUGCUACAAAAACGCUGUGACGAGGAAUCUGAACAACAGAGAUUUGAGGGAAACAAAACACUUUCGACGAAGGUCCUGCUGCUUGUCUUCAGCUUGGUACCAAUUAGAGCUUCACUGGAGGUGAAAAGGGCAGACACGGUUGCUGAGUGGCUGGUUGGAGAGUCCCUGAGAGAUUACCCAAGAAACUCAGUUGCGGCACGUGGUGGAGCAGCCUCUCAGAAAAUGGAGUUCUAAGUAUAGUAACAAUUUAGUUACAUAGUUACUUCCAUUUCCAGAGAUGUGAUCCUUUGCUGUGUA